UUGUAAAAUUUAAUAAGUAAACGGGUUGGUCAACAUUUUCACAGUAAAUUCCUCGAACAAAUUUUAAAUUAUUCUUUGCAUUAUUAAUAUUGCAAUUUAUUCGAAAGAUCGCGUUCGAGAAACUUGUUGCAGGAUUCCAUUUUAACUUGGCUACGCGAUUAUCUUCCCGAUUAAUUUUCAAUUCAAUUCGUGAAAAUAAGCACGAUCGCAAUUUCGCACAUGGAAAAUUAGAAAUAACUCCUGUGCGUGACACAGUAUUCACGAAUACGACGGUUUCACCAGUUAUUGCAAUGCGUAUGAAUCAAGAAGUGUUUCCGAUGAAAUAAAAUGAAAGAAUGUUAGCGCACAAGGAAAUAAUCUGAAAGAUAGAGAAAAAUAAAGACAAGUAAAAAUCAUCUCACUUUGAAACGAAUAAAAUUUGUUUGUCCAUAUGUAGUUUAGAUGAAGAAGAAAAGAGAAUUGAAAAGGUUGAAGAAAAAUAUAUGGAAGUAAUUUUGCAAAUUCGAUAUAUUCUGUUUCAUCGAUUCUCCAUCCGCCUACGUCAAAUAAAUCGAACGCUAUACUGUCAUUUUAAUUCGCGCUAGGGAUACGAGGGAUCCUUUCCUUCAACUACGAGCCAUUCUUUCAAGAUAAUAAAUUAAAAAAAGGUAUCGAAAUUUAUUUUUUUUUUCCUCCACUUACGGAUAUUCUUUAUUUUUUUUCUUCACUUUCGAUAUUCAUUAUUUUACUCGUUGAGUUUAUAUAUGUAAAGAUGCGAUAUAUAUAUUUACGCGUGAAUUGAGUGUCACUGAGCAUAAUCGCUUGAUUCUGUGUUUUGUCUUUUACGCUUUUUUAAACCGUACAACGCGACAUGGAGCUCAGUGUAGUAGAAACAAAGCAGUAAUCUAGAACUAGAUUUAACACGAACUCAAACAAUUUUUGAUACUGGUUACACAGAAUGCAACAUCGAUGAAAUAACGCGAAUGGAAUAAAAAAGAAGAAAAAUAAAUUGAUAGAGAAACGAAGCGGAUGAUAGGAAAGAAGCAACGAAAUUUGAAAAGUGAAGAGACUCUGAAGAUUUUUCAAAAAUUU
Long non-coding RNA from Apis dorsata (giant honeybee), 1071 nucleotides. RefSeq lists it as uncharacterized. Lineage: Eukaryota; Metazoa; Arthropoda; Insecta; Hymenoptera; Apidae. The transcript is spliced from 3 exons. The record is from RefSeq and is a predicted model, not a curated record.